This 482-nucleotide ribosomal RNA is filed under the name uncultured bacterium. Its description in RNAcentral is "partial 16S ribosomal RNA". It matches the Rfam family "Bacterial small subunit ribosomal RNA", at positions 30 to 507 of the family's 1533-position model. The record is from RNAcentral.
AUUGAACGCUGGCGGCAUGCUUUACACAUGCAAGUCGAACGGUAACAGGUCUUCGGAUGCUGACGAGUGGCGAACGGGUGAGUAAUACAUCGGAACGUGCCUAGUAGUGGGGGAUAACUACUCGAAAGAGUAGCUAAUACCGCAUGAGAUCUACGGAUGAAAGCAGGGGACCUUCGGGCCUUGUGCUACUAGAGCGGCUGAUGGCAGAUUAGGUAGUUGGUGGGGUAAAGGCUUACCAAGCCUGCGAUCUGUAGCUGGUCUGAGAGGACGACCAGCCACACUGGGACUGAGACACGGCCCAGACUCCUACGGGAGGCAGCAGUGGGGAAUUUUGGACAAUGGGCGAAAGCCUGAUCCAGCAAUGCCGCGUGCAGGAUGAAGGCCCUCGGGUUGUAAACUGCUUUUGUACGGAACGAAAAGCCUGGGGCUAAUAUCCCCGGGUCAUGACGGUACCGUAAGAAUAAGCACCGGCUAACUACGCG